AUUGAACGCUGGCGGCAUGCCUUACACAUGCAAGUCGAACGGCAGCGGACCUUCGGGUGCCGGCGAGUGGCGAACGGGUGAGUAAUAUAUCGGAACGUACCUUUCAGUGGGGGAUAACGUAGCGAAAGUUACGCUAAUACCGCAUAUUCUGUGAGCAGGAAAGCAGGGGAUCGCAAGACCUUGCGCUGAUUGAGCGGCCGAUAUCAGAUUAGCUAGUUGGUGAGGUAAAGGCUCACCAAGGCGACGAUCUGUAGCGGGUCUGAGAGGAUGAUCCGCCACACUGGAACUGAGACACGGUCCAGACUCCUACGGGAGGCAGCAGUGGGGAAUAUUGCGCAAUGGGCGAAAGCCUGACGCAGCCACGCCGCGUGAGCGAUGAAGGCCUCGGUCGUAAGACUCUGUGGGAGGAGAAGAA
Molecule: ribosomal RNA, 415 nt
Filed under: uncultured bacterium
Lineage: Bacteria
Description: bacterial SSU rRNA
Rfam family: Bacterial small subunit ribosomal RNA
Source: RNAcentral